This 78-nucleotide transfer RNA is filed under the name Pseudocercospora pini-densiflorae CBS 125139. Its description in RNAcentral is "tRNA-Pro (TGG) (tRNA-Pro-TGG-1-1)". It matches the Rfam family "tRNA". From Rfam's summary of the family: Transfer RNA (tRNA) molecules are approximately 80 nucleotides in length. Their secondary structure includes four short double-helical elements and three loops (D, anti-codon, and T loops). Further hydrogen bonds mediate the characteristic L-shaped molecular structure. tRNAs have two regions of fundamental functional importance: the anti-codon, which is responsible for specific mRNA codon recognition, and the 3' end, to which the tRNAs corresponding amino acid is attached (by aminoacyl-tRNA synthetases). tRNAs cope with the degeneracy of the genetic code in two manners: having more than one tRNA (with a specific anti-codon) for a particular amino acid; and 'wobble' base-pairing, i.e. permitting non-standard base-pairing at the 3rd anti-codon position. Lineage: Eukaryota; Fungi; Ascomycota; Dothideomycetes; Mycosphaerellales; Mycosphaerellaceae. The record is from RNAcentral.
ACGGAUUCGCAGAUGGUCUAGUGGUAUGAUUCUUGCUUUGGGUGCAAGAGGCCCCGUGUUCGAUCCACGGUGUUCGUA